ACGGAGGGUGCAAGCGUUAAUCGGAAUUACUGGGCGUAAAGCGCACGUAGGUGGUUUGUUAAGUCAGAUGUGAAAUCCCCGGGCUCAACGUGGGAACUGCAUUUGAUACUGGCAAGCUUGAGUCUCGGAGAGGGAGGCAGAAUUCCAGGUGUAGCGGUGAAAUGCGUAGAUAUCUGGAGGAAUACCGGUGGCGAAGGCGGCCCCCUGGACGGAUACUGACACUGAGGUGCUAAAGCGUGGGGAUCAAACAG
RNAcentral lists this ribosomal RNA (251 nucleotides) under uncultured prokaryote. RNAcentral's name for it is "partial 16S rRNA". It matches the Rfam family "Bacterial small subunit ribosomal RNA", at positions 525 to 775 of the family's 1533-position model. The record is from RNAcentral.